Molecule: ribosomal RNA, 377 nt
Filed under: uncultured eukaryote
Lineage: Eukaryota
Description: partial 18S ribosomal RNA
Rfam family: Eukaryotic small subunit ribosomal RNA
Source: RNAcentral
CAAUAGCGUAUAUUAAAGUUGUUGCAGUUAAAAAGCUCGUAGUUGGAUUUCGGGGCAGCCUGGCUGGUCCGCCGCAAGGCGAGUCCUGGUCAGCCGCCCUUCCUCUCGAAAGCCCCGACUGCUCUUCGUUGCAGUGGUCGGGUAGUUCGGGACGUUUACUUUGAAAAAAUUAGAGUGUUCAAGGCAGGCCUACGCCUGAAUACAUUAGCAUGGAAUAAUGGAAGAGGACCUCGGUCCUAUUUUGUUGGUUUCCAGGGCCGAAGUAAUGAUUAAGAGGGACAGUUGGGGGCAUUCGUAUUUAAUUGUCAGAGGUGAAAUUCUCGGAUUUAUGAAAGACGAACAACUGCGAAAGCAUUUGCCAAGGAUGUUUUCAUUAA